This 253-nucleotide ribosomal RNA is filed under the name uncultured bacterium. Its description in RNAcentral is "partial 16S ribosomal RNA". It matches the Rfam family "Bacterial small subunit ribosomal RNA", at positions 524 to 776 of the family's 1533-position model. The record is from RNAcentral.
UACGUAGGGGGCAAGCGUUGUCCGGAAUCAUUGGGCGUAAAGCGCGCGUAGGCGGCUCGAUAAGUCCGCUGUGAAAGUCAAAGGCUCAACCUUUGAAUGCCGGUGGAUACUGUCGAGCUAGAGUACGGAAGAGGCGAGUGGAAUUCCUGGUGUAGCGGUGGAAUGCGCAGAUAUCAGGAGGAACACCAACGGCGAAGGCAGCUCGCUGGGACGGUACUGACGCUAAGGCGCGAAAGCGUGGGGAGCAAACAGG